GUUUGGAUACCCCUGGCUUAGUCGGUAGAACCUGAGAUUCUCAACCUCAGAGUCAUGGAUUCGAAUCCCACAUCAGGCA
Non-coding RNA from Podarcis lilfordi (Lilford's wall lizard), 79 nucleotides. The record is from the annotation of a GenBank genome assembly. NCBI's taxonomy places the organism in Eukaryota, Metazoa, Chordata, Lepidosauria, Squamata, Lacertidae.